RNAcentral lists this ribosomal RNA (590 nucleotides) under uncultured Thiothrix sp. RNAcentral describes it as "bacterial SSU rRNA". It matches the Rfam family "Bacterial small subunit ribosomal RNA", at positions 346 to 920 of the family's 1533-position model. The record is from RNAcentral. Lineage: Bacteria; Pseudomonadati; Pseudomonadota; Gammaproteobacteria; Thiotrichales; Thiotrichaceae.
AGNCAGCAGUGGGGAAUAUUGGCCAAUGGGCGCAAGCCUGAUCCAGCCAUGCCGCGUGUGUGAAGAAGGCCCUCGGGUUGUAAAGCACUUUAAGCGAGGAGGAAGGUCAUCAUACUAAUAUUAUGAUGAAUUGACGUUACUCGCAGAAUAAGCACCGGCUAACUCCGUGCCAGCAGCCGCGGUAAUACGGAGGGUGCAAGCGUUAAUCGGAAUUACUGGGCGUAAAGCGUGCGUAGGCGGCUCUUUAAGUCCAGAUGUGAAAUCCCCCGGGCUACAACCUGGGAACUGCAUCUGAUAUCUGGGGAGCUAGAAUGUGGGAGAGGGAAGUGGAAUUUNCCGGUGUAGCGGUGAAAUGCAUAGAGAUCGGAAGGAACAUCAGUGGCGAAGGCGACUUGCCUGGACCAACAUUGACGCUGAGGCACGAAAGCGUGGGUAGCAAACAGGAUUAGAUACCCCUGGUAGUCCACGCCGUAAACGAUGUCAACUAGCCGUCGGCUCCAACUAAGGGGUCGGUGGUGCAGCUAACGCAUUAAGUUGACCGCCUGGGGAGUACGCGCGCAAGCGUAAAACUCAAAUGAAUNGACGGGGUA